UACGUAGGGGGCAAGCGUUGUCCGGAUUUAUUGGGCGUAAAGAGCGUGUAGGCGGCCAGGCAGGUCCGUUGUGAAAACUCGAGGCUCAACCUCGAGACGUCGAUGGAAACCGUCUGGCUAGAGUCCGGAAGAGGAGAGUGGAAUUCCUGGUGUAGCGGUGAAAUGCGCAGAUAUCAGGAAGAACACCCGUGGCGAAGGCGGUUCUCUGGGACGGUACUGACGCUGAGACGCGAAAGCGUGGGGAGCGAACAGG
This 253-nucleotide ribosomal RNA is filed under the name uncultured bacterium. RNAcentral's name for it is "partial 16S ribosomal RNA". It matches the Rfam family "Bacterial small subunit ribosomal RNA", at positions 524 to 776 of the family's 1533-position model. The record is from RNAcentral.